CUUCCUGUGCAAUUUAGAUAUCAGAUUGCUAAAGGGGCGUUCUAUUAAACUGGACACAGGAAAUAUCACCUGAUAGAUGGUGAAAAAGUAGAUUUACGAGAUAGUGUGCCAUAUUAUAUGAUGCGUAAUAAUGAGGUUAUGUUGGAAUUACUCGAUAUUCGAUCAUUUAUCUUCAAAUCUAAUCAAUUCUUCGCAAUUUAUUCACGAAAACAAGUAUUCUAUAAUAACAUUUACAAUUCCAAAAGUCACUAGAAAGAUAUAGAUUUUUCAAAACGUAAAAUUUAAUAUUCUAUAUUUAAAGAAAUUCACAGUACAUAUUUAACUAUUUGUGUAAUGUAUAAUAUUUAAAUUGUAAUUUUUUAAAUAUAACUAAAAUCUGUACAUCUUUUGAAACUUGAAGAUAUUUAAUGCGUGUUUAAUUGGAAGAAUCGUACGAUUAUGUACACUUUUAAAAUCACGUGUAUUAUCUUGGAAAACGAUGAAUCGAAUCGAAAUAUUAUUUGUCGCAUGAUUCAAACUUAUUUUAUAUUGUGUUUUUCAUAUCAAUCCAAGUACGACGGACAACAGAGACCAACCGUGGAAUCGACUGAAUAAAUUUUAAUUUUCCAAGCCGUCAGCUUAUUCACCUGUUGAAACUUCUUUGGGUUAUUCGCAAUAUUACAAUGUUGUUGGACGGAUGUUUAGAGCACAGAUAACGAGAUCAACAGGAUAACAACAUGCGACAUGUUUGAUCAUUACCAUCGAAAAAGGAUAUUUCCAGUGAAAUGGCAAAUUCUAACUCGCGUGAGAGAAAUAAAUCUAAUAUUUAUUAUGAUAUAUUAUUUUGUAUAAAUAGAAUCAUCAUCAUCAAUUUUUCCAUUUUACAUAAAGCUUAUAAAUCGUACGUUUCCAGAUUUAUAUUGCUAUUUUGUCGCGAUAAGAUAAUGCCUCAACUAUGGGAGGUGUUCGAGUGGCCCUAAGAGCUUUGGGAUUCGGGGCCGCAGAUGAUAUUCGUUUCAGAAUAUCAAACUGGCGUGUAACAUCCGUGCCAAGAGGAACACUCGAAUAUUCCUAAUAACAAUGGAUAAUAAUGAAACAUUGGGAUCAGGAUAUAUUUUAAUUAUCUGUGAUCGACAUAUGGACCGAUAACUGUGUUAAAUAGAAAAAUAAAAUUUACGGAUAUUUGAAACUCUUUGGAAUUUAAAAAGGUUUAUGGAAAUAUCAAAGAAGGUCGAAAAGGGAUAAUCGUUACGUAAGAUCUAAUGCAAAUCUAAUACAACAUCGAACAGAUAGGGGGAUUACAAUUAAGCCGCAUUACAAAUGCCACGUAUAUCCAAUAUUGUACUACAAUAUUUGUAUUUCAUCUCUCAUAUAUGAUCGUACACGACAGCAUGCAAUCACAAAUUUGACAGUUAUUAAUGAAAAUUUUAGAUUGACGUUAGAAUACAUCUUUCCAAUUCGAAUAGAAAUCUAUUGGAAUUUUGAAAAGAGAGGAAAACUGGGAUAACAUUAAAAUCAGAGUUGGAAUUUUUUUAGAGAGAUUGUGCACAAUUCUUAUUAUUUUUUUUCGAUGAAAAGAAAAAUUCCACGAUAAGCGAUAAUCAAAUUCAACAAUGAGGGGAAAACGAGUUGAAUUAAUUCCGGAACCGGAGUGCCUAAUGGAGAACUAUUGUCGGUGAUUAAAAUAUAAAUGGGAAAAGGUCAACAGUGAAGCGAUCAGUGUGCACAGGAUUUGAAUUGUGCCCGUGGCACAAGUAAAUGAAAACGAAUAAUUCAUUAAUAUUCACCAGUUAUUCCCUCCCAGUUACUCGAUAUCGAAAGUACUUUUUUUACGAUCCGCUCGUCAUUUCUGAUAAUUUUACCUUCGCCGAAAUGCUAUAUGCCCGACUUUACCGUCUCUUACUUCCUCGCAUACGUGCGUAUCUACGUCGUUAACGCAAAUAACGAUGUUACAUUACAUUCGAAAUUCAAUUUCGCGAUAUUUACAGCACCGUACUAAUUGCAAUUUCGCCCUCGUUCCAGAAAAAAAUAUCACAUGCUUGCACAUGCUUCAAUAAGAACGAGAGUAAUAUUCUCUCUCCUUUUUUUUUUGCUCGCGAUUUUUUCCGAAUUAAACGAGUUGAAACAGAUAAUCUUUUUUUUUAUAAUUUUAUAAUAGUUAUAGACUAUAUAAGACGCGAAAAAAUAUAGGCAAUUUGAACAUCUGUAAAUUAUCCAUUUUAAGAUUUUUUUCUUUUAAAACUCGUUGUUACGGAUCAUAAUAUAAAUUGUAAACGAGAAUAUAUUUCAACGCGCUGUCUGAAGGCGUCGUGUUCAUCUGUCGUAACGGAGAGCGUAAGAGUUUGUAUUUUUACGCGGCUUUAUUACUAGGGCUUGUUCCCUAAGCGCCUCGCUUAUAAAAUUCGCAUUACAUCGUGAAUUACAUCGAACGUAUCCCGUUAACGCCUUCGAGAAAACGUGUUAAACGUUCCAUAAAAGAAUAUUAUUUACGUUAAAAAAAAUAUAUUAACACUCAUUGUUCAAUAUUGGAGAAAAAUUAGAACUGACUUUAUAAAAAAAAGAAAAAAUAAAAUAAAUUGGACAA
Apis laboriosa (Himalayan honeybee) is the source of this 2563-nucleotide long non-coding RNA. RefSeq lists it as uncharacterized. The transcript has 4 exons. The record is from RefSeq and is a predicted model, not a curated record. NCBI's taxonomy places the organism in Eukaryota, Metazoa, Arthropoda, Insecta, Hymenoptera, Apidae.